GAUAUUGGUGUAGUACAUUCUAGGGGAUCUGGUGUCGUUCUGUAGGAUGUGGGGAUGUCACAGUCUGUGGUUCACCCAACAUGGUGGUCCCCCAUUGGGUCCCUGAGCUUCUCUUCUUUUCACAUCAUGUGCUUGGUGCACCAUUUCCACGAUGUUGGUGGCGGUGCUGGCAGAUUGCUGUUGAUGACGUUCGUAGUGCGUUUUUUUUUUUGUUCUAUUUCCAUCGCUUCUAUUGGUGUCAUCGCAUUACGAUCUCGCAGGUUUUAUUAUUUUCGCUUCUGUCCACCUCACAUUAAUGUCCUUCU
This 305-nucleotide long non-coding RNA is filed under the name Androctonus crassicauda. Lineage: Eukaryota; Metazoa; Arthropoda; Arachnida; Scorpiones; Buthidae. The record is from RNAcentral.